RNAcentral lists this ribosomal RNA (690 nucleotides) under Flavobacterium sp. GRC-2. RNAcentral describes it as "bacterial SSU rRNA". It matches the Rfam family "Bacterial small subunit ribosomal RNA", at positions 94 to 782 of the family's 1533-position model. The record is from RNAcentral. Lineage: Bacteria; Pseudomonadati; Bacteroidota; Flavobacteriia; Flavobacteriales; Flavobacteriaceae.
ACCGGCGCACGGGUGCGUAACGCGUAUGCAAUCUACCUUUUACAGGGGAAUAGCCCAGAGAAAUUUGGAUUAAUGCCCCAUAGUAUAAUUGAAUGGCAUCAUUUAAUUAUUAAAGUCACAACGGUAAAAGAUGAGCAUGCGUCCCAUUAGUUAGUUGGUAAGGUAACGGCUUACCAAGACAAUGAUGGGUAGGGGUCCUGAGAGGGAGAUCCCCCACACUGGUACUGAGACACGGACCAGACUCCUACGGGAGGCAGCAGUGAGGAAUAUUGGACAAUGGGCGCAAGCCUGAUCCAGCCAUGCCGCGUGCAGGAAGACGGUCCUAUGGAUUGUAAACUGCUUUUAUACAGGAAGAAACACUCCGACGUGUCGGAGCUUGACGGUACUGUAGGAAUAAGGAUCGGCUAACUCCGUGCCAGCAGCCGCGGUAAUACGGAGGAUCCAAGCGUUAUCCGGAAUCAUUGGGUUUAAAGGGUCCGUAGGCGGUUUAAUAAGUCAGUGGUGAAAUCUGGUCGCUCAACGAUCAAACGGCCAUUGAUACUGUUAGACUUGAAUUAUAAGGAAGUAACUAGAAUAUGUAGUGUAGCGGUGAAAUGCUUAGAUAUUACAUGGAAUACCAAUUGCGAAGGCAGGUUACUACUUAUGGAUUGACGCUGAUGGACGAAAGCGUGGGGAGCGAACAGGAUUAGA